CUAACAAGGAUUCCCUCAGUAACGGCGAGUGAACAGGGAUUAGCCCAGCACCGAAGCCUGUGGCCAUUUGGUUACUAGGCAAUGUGGUGUUCAGGUCGUUCCGCAGAGGCACUGCUCCACUCCAAGUCCAGCAAUGAGUACGGUAGUACAGACUUGGCCCAUAGAGGGUGAAAGGCCCGUGGGGGUGGAGAUUCAGGCAGGCCAGUGUCUCUCUGGGUAGACCUUGGAGUCGGGUUGUUUGUGAAUGCAGCCCAAAGCGGGUGGUAAACUCCAUCUAAGGCUAAAUACUAGCACGAGUCCGAUAGCGAACAAGUACCGUGAGGGAAAGUUGAAAAGUACUUUGAAGAGAGAGUAAACAGUGCGUGAAACCGCUCAGAGGUAAACGGGUGGAGUUGAACUGCAAGCCUUGAGAAUUCAGCUGGUGAGUGUGGUUUGAGCUUGGUCAAAUUGGUUGUACACUGGGGUCUGCGUAGUAGCAGGUCUCUGCCCUCGGGUGGGGAUGCGCGAAUCGCUUAUCAAGCGUUGUGCGCUCUAGUUGUAUUCGGGCCUGCUUGCCAGUGCAUUUUCUCAGGGUGUUCACCACGACCGGCACUGCUGUCUGGCUGUUGUGGUUAAACCGGUCUUGCAUUGUCCUUGUGGCUUUGUUUGGUCGGGACGGCAGGUAGCUCGUUGGCUAGUCUGGGGUAACCUGGGCAAUUGGUCUUCGGGUGUAAUCAGCUGACCAUAAUGGUUCUGUGCGGUGUGUCGGAGACGGCGGCUUGUGGUGUGAGCGCGCGUGCCUUGUCUGCUGACUUGUUUGGGUUUGGUUGCUAUGUUGCUUGUUCUGCAAGCCUGGCGAUGGCCUGAGCAUGUUUGGCGGGCGGUUGCGUGUGUGACACUAUUCCAGGGCCAAUAGUCUGUGGUGUAGUGGUAGAC
This 915-nucleotide ribosomal RNA is filed under the name Lepidapedon zubchenkoi. RNAcentral describes it as "eukaryotic LSU rRNA". It matches the Rfam family "Eukaryotic large subunit ribosomal RNA", at positions 65 to 633 of the family's 3401-position model. The record is from RNAcentral. Lineage: Eukaryota; Metazoa; Platyhelminthes; Trematoda; Plagiorchiida; Lepocreadiidae.